CUUUCAUCCAGAGAGGCGGAGGGACAGGCCCGAUGAAGCCCGGCAACCGACACCCGUGGGGUGUGAGGUGCCAACUCCUGCCGGAGACCCCGGAGAGAUGAGAG
This 104-nucleotide non-coding RNA is filed under the name Limnochorda pilosa. Its description in RNAcentral is "SAM-I sequence". It matches the Rfam family "SAM riboswitch aptamer (S box leader)". From Rfam's summary of the family: The SAM riboswitch is found upstream of a number of genes which code for proteins involved in methionine or cysteine biosynthesis in Gram-positive bacteria. The SAM riboswitch acts at the level of transcription termination control. Lineage: Bacteria; Bacillati; Bacillota; Limnochordia; Limnochordales; Limnochordaceae. The record is from Rfam by way of RNAcentral.